Chelonia mydas (Green sea turtle) is the source of this 142-nucleotide long non-coding RNA. RefSeq lists it as uncharacterized. The transcript is spliced from 3 exons. The record is from RefSeq and is a predicted model, not a curated record. Lineage: Eukaryota; Metazoa; Chordata; Testudines; Cheloniidae.
AAAAACAUAAAACGGCCAUACCGGGUCAGACCAAAGGUCCAUCUAGCCCAAGAUCCUGUUUUCCGGCAGUGACUGGAGCCAGAUGCUUCAGAGGGAGAGAACAGAACAGGGCAAUUUAUUGAACAAGUGAUCCAUCCCCAGC